GAUGAACGCUGGCGGCGUGCUUAACACAUGCAAGUCGAACGAUGAAGCCCAGCUUGCUGGGUGGAUUAGUGGCGAACGGGUGAGUAACACGUGAGUAACCUGCCCUUGACUCUGGGAUAAGCCUGGGAAACUGGGUCUAAUACUGGAUAUGACUUCUCAUCGCAUGGUGGGGGGUGGAAAGAUUUAUUGGUCUUGGAUGGACUCGCGGCCUAUCAGCUUGUUGGUGAGGUAAUGGCUCACCAAGGCGACGACGGGUAGCCGGCCUGAGAGGGUGACCGGCCACACUGGGACUGAGACACGGCCCAGACUCCUACGGGAGGCAGCAGUGGGGAAUAUUGCACAAUGGGCGCAAGCCUGAUGCAGCGACGCCGGGUGAGGGAUGACGGCCUUCGGGUUGUAAACCUCUUUCAGUAGGGAAGAAGCGAGAGUGACGGUACCUGCAGAAGAAGCGCCGGCUAACUACGUG
Molecule: ribosomal RNA, 466 nt
Filed under: uncultured bacterium
Lineage: Bacteria
Description: partial 16S ribosomal RNA
Rfam family: Bacterial small subunit ribosomal RNA
Source: RNAcentral